CCACUCGUGAAUUACGUAGUACCCCCCUUGCGGACCUCCACAGGAAAGCUCGGGCGGCUGCCUCUCGGGGCAGUCGGGCCCCUCAGCCCCCAGGGCUGCGGGGUCGGCAAACCCCAAUUUACACACCCAACCAAACCGUCUGUCUGAAGCUGACUCGACUUGGCACUGCCAGUCGACAAACAAAGACAACUCUCAACAACGGAUAUCUAGGCUCUCGCAACGAUGAAGAACGCAGCGAAAUGCGAUACGUAGUGUGAAUUGCAGAAUUCCGUGAAUCAUCGAAUCUUUGAACGCAUAUUGCGGUCAAGGCUUCGGCCGAGACCAUGUCUGCCUCAGCGUCGGUGUGACCCCCACACCCCCCCAUUUCUGGGUAGGGUGGAACUGGCUUCCCCACUGCCCAGGCAGUGGGCUAGCUGAAAUACAGAGGUUUAAGCUUGGACCUGUAUGGCAACAGCAAGGUAGGUAGCUCCGACUACUCCGGCUGAUGCUUUGGGAACUGGACGAGCCCGCANGAAACACCCACCUUUUCGACCUGAGAUCAGGCAAGCUUACCCGCUGAACUUAAGCAUAUCA
Molecule: ribosomal RNA, 573 nt
Filed under: uncultured Chlorophyta
Lineage: Eukaryota; Viridiplantae; Chlorophyta
Description: eukaryotic LSU rRNA
Rfam family: 5.8S ribosomal RNA (bases 188-341)
Source: RNAcentral